This is a long non-coding RNA of Amphiprion ocellaris (clown anemonefish), 2450 nucleotides long. Lineage: Eukaryota; Metazoa; Chordata; Actinopteri; Pomacentridae. The record is from Ensembl.
AUCUCACAGAAGAAGAAGAGGAAGCAUCCUAGGCAGUAGAAGAAGAGUGACGGAUUGUCGACGCUCUUUGGUCAGCAGUAGUACACAGGGUGUCAGCGGUGAUUUGUCACUACCAAAAGUACUAGUUUAUUGUUAUUUUACUAGGUAAACUGAUAGAAAACAGAACCGUUUACAGUUGUGGACGAUUAUCGGACGUCAGCUGGGCCACCUUCCUCAGUGGAUGUGCGUCACACAGCAGGAACGAGAGCGCGUCUGUGCGUGUGAAGGAGCCAUGUUGAAGCGGCUCCUAAUGUCGUGUUUUUAAAAGCGGUGCCGUCAAUGUGCUGCGUGACGAGGACUCGUCUCGGAAAGUGGAGGAACCGUGAAACAUACCGAGAUGUCAGCGGACGAUUUCCAGACGCAGUACGCCUCCUUCAUGGACGGCAUGCUGAAGAGCGCUGUGGCAGAAACCACGAAACUUUUCGAAACUAUGGUGGACGAGCUGAAGGCAGAAAUAUCCAGGAUGAAGAAGGAGAAUGAAGACCUCAAAACACGAUGUAGUCUGUACGAAAGUGCAAAAAGCCAAACGGCUGUUGAUCACGGAGAAAAUUGCACCGUUUCAGGACCAAACGACGGCUCUGAGAAACGCGACAGUGCUGUCCAGUGUGAUCUUGUCCCUGUCCGUACAGUACUGGUGGAGCACUGUCAGUCACUGCAAAACCAAGUGCAGCAGUACACACAUGAGGGCAUGCAGUACCAUUUGCAAGAGCACAACUAUAUUGCUCAUGAAAUCAAACAAGAGGAAUUGGAGUCUGUGUUGAAGCAGGAGGAAGUUGAGCCCACUGUGGUCUGUGAACAAGCAGGUUCACUGCAGACCUCUGUUUGUGGAGCUGAAAAUGAAGAACCUCUUGUGAGGCAGGAAAGUUCAACACAGUAUGUAGAGACCAGACUUCUAGAGCCCCCCUGUUUGCAAAUGGGUAGCAGGGUACAGGGAACCCAGAACCAGUUAUCUUACCCAGAGCCUGCAAUUAGUAUUUCACUCGCUGCAUUAAAGGAAGACCUCCAAAAAGAGUCUGAGUUUGAUCAGACUAUAUCAGAAAAAAGGAUGGAGGGAGAACUCACAAUAUCUGGAAAACACCAGUCAGUCCCCCAGCACUGUCAAGGAGACAGUGACACAUCAGUAAAUGAAAAAACUGAUAUGCACCAUACAGAGAAACAGUCAGAGCCUAAUCUGCUCGUACGGCAUAGAAGAGGACCUUCCCCAAAGAAAAUGAAACAACAAAUACUUCAGUCAUCAUCGGUUGAUGUUUCAAGAGAACAGAAGGGGUUAAAUUCCCCUUCGGUAAGAGAGGAAGGCGUAUUCUCGCAAACAUCUCCAGUUCAGCCUCAAAAGACUUCAUCUGCCAUCACCCUAUCAGUCCAGGACAGAUCAUACCCUGCUUUUGAAGACAUGGAAAACAGGAGGGUUGAUUCUUUGCCUGUCUCUGUUUCAGUUGCAAUUCAUUCUCCAUCAACUGAAGUUUCAUCUGCAAAUGAAAGACUGGACACCACACCAGCAGAUUCAUCACAAGCACCAUCAAGUCACCUCAAAGACUGCCGCACCUCAGUAACACUUCAGGAUGCAAUGCUGUUAGUUGAAGCCAUGAAUCAGUCAACAGUGGAAAAUGCAGUCGCCCAAGGAAUGGCACCACCCGAGACCCGCUCUGCUCCCUGUGAGGGUACUUUGCAAAUGGUGGACAAGAUCCCAGAAGAGCCAACUUCUGUUGAGACUCCUCACAUUACAGAUGCCAUUUCAACCAGUGAAGCUCAGGCCCACAUUGCAGUUGUCAUACCAAAACAAAAACAUGCACCAUCUCCUUUUAAUACUACUACAUUACCAUUGUCACCAUCAGCCGCUGCACCUAAAACCACCACACGGUCGCUUCCUCGUCCUUUGAUGCCAUUGGUAGCUCCCAGUAAACCAAAUAAAGCAGUACCUCAUGCAAUCAUCAUCUUGCCAAAGUCAGGAUCUUCAUUUAUGUCUCAAAAAGUUGCAACGGUGUCUCCAACCCCGCUUUCUACUGGGUCAUCAUCAGGACAGGAUUGUUUUUCUAAAGUUGUAGGGUUACCACCUGAUACAUCUUCCCAUUCUUCUGUUCCCCAGACAGUAAAUGUUAGCUCCAGAAAUAUUUUUCCGGUCUUCCCCUCACAGUUACCCACGAACUCAGCAGAACAGCACUUAGGAACCUUAUCACAGUCAAAAAUACUUAUAAUUCCAACACGGUUGUCAGCUGUGGCAUCAAAGAAACAUCAGUCACACACUACUGUACUGACAGUAAAGCAAAAGAGUGCUGAACCAACUGCUCCAGUUACAGAGUCAUCGACCCAACUGAUUUUCUCGUCACAGGAGUUAAAUAUUUCUGCUUUGCACAAUCCAGUAUUGUCUCAAAAAAAUGAUGAUACAACUGACAGCCUAGAAACCUCCAAACAAA